This 253-nucleotide ribosomal RNA is filed under the name uncultured bacterium. RNAcentral's name for it is "partial 16S ribosomal RNA". It matches the Rfam family "Bacterial small subunit ribosomal RNA", at positions 524 to 776 of the family's 1533-position model. The record is from RNAcentral.
UACGGGGGGGGCAAGCGUUGUUCGGAAUUACUGGGCGUAAAGGGCUCGUAGGCGGCCAACUAAGUCGGAUGUGAAAUCCCCAGGCUUAACCUGGGAACUGCAUCCGAUACUGGAUGGCUUGAAUCCGGGAGAGGGAUGCAGAAUUCCAGGUGUAGCGGUGAAAUGCGUAGAUAUCUGGAGGAAUACCGAUGGCGAAGGCAGCUGCCUGGCCCAGAACUGACGCUGAGGUGCGAAAGCGUGGGGAGCGAACGGG